UACGUAGGCAGCGAGCGUUGUUCGGAAUUACUGGGCGUAAAGAGUGUGUAGGCGGUGCUCUAAGUUCGGUGUGAAAUCUCCCGGCUUAACUGGGAGGGUGCGCCGGAAACUGGAGUGCUCGAGCGUGGGAGAGGAAAGCGGAAUUCCUGGUGUAGCGGUGAAAUGCGUAGAUAUCAGGAGGAACACCUGCGGUGUAGACGGCUUUCUGGACCAUUGCUGACGCUGAGACACGAAAGCUAGGGGAGCAAACAGG
RNAcentral lists this ribosomal RNA (253 nucleotides) under uncultured bacterium. RNAcentral's name for it is "partial 16S ribosomal RNA". It matches the Rfam family "Bacterial small subunit ribosomal RNA", at positions 524 to 776 of the family's 1533-position model. The record is from RNAcentral.